AAUUUGUGCAUUGGACACUUUUGCAACAACUCCUUAAAUCGCUCCCAAGCUUCAUACAAAUUAUCCCCCUUCAUUUUCUUAAAGGAGGUAAUGUCAUUUCUCAGCCU
Hibiscus syriacus is the source of this 107-nucleotide small nucleolar RNA. Lineage: Eukaryota; Viridiplantae; Streptophyta; Magnoliopsida; Malvales; Malvaceae. The record is from RefSeq and is a predicted model, not a curated record.